This 613-nucleotide long non-coding RNA is filed under the name Fragaria vesca (wild strawberry). RNAcentral's name for it is "long non-coding RNA (FVES_LNC001636)". The record is from RNAcentral. Lineage: Eukaryota; Viridiplantae; Streptophyta; Magnoliopsida; Rosales; Rosaceae.
ACAAUCUCAAUAACAAAAUAUAAUUCUACAAUAAAAAGAACCAAGACGCAAAGAAAAAGAAGAAGACGAGAAUACCAAGGACGAAGAAUUUCCAGAGGUACAAGGUUAUGAGGAAUUGAGAAUAUGAGUUUUAUAGAUGUGAGUGUUUUAUAAAUUUUCAGUUUUGGUGUUCAAAGAUUGAGACCCAAUCAAGAGGCAUUGAGCGAUGAGCACUGAUUGUAAAACUCAAAAUGCUUGGAAAGAAAACAAAAACAAGAAGAAGAUCAAGAACGCAAUAAGAUACAUGUAUGAGACUAUGAGGAAUUGAGAAUAUAAGUUUUAUUUUUGUGGAUUAGCCUGGCUUCUGAAACCCAAGUGCUUAUUCGAUGAGGAUGCAUCUUGCUGGUGAUCCAUCAAAACCGAUCAACCCUAAAGGCAAUCAAUGCACAGAAUAAUAUAUUCUUGCUAGAACCUUCGUGCUUUUAACCCUCAACAAGAACCAUCUCCUAGAUCAUAUAAUUAGCAAUUUAAUUAGUUACGUAUGCUCUGAAUUUUGAUUACUUUACAGCUUCAGUCCUUGGUCUUCUCAUCUUCUUUCUUUUUUGUCUUUGCGUCUUUGUUCCUUUUUUUUUCU